UGAGUACGAAAUGCUACGGCAUUGAAGCAGUCUAUGUCAUACUUCCAAGAAAAGCUUGCACCGUCAGAAACAAAUAAUGCCUGUACCAUAACCGACACAGGUGGGUAGGUAGAGUAUACUAAGGGGCGCGAGAUAACUCUCUCAAAGGAACUCGGCAAAAUGACUCCGUAACUUCGGGAGAAGGAGUGCCUUAUUUCUAAGGUUGCAAUAACAAGAUCCAAGCAACUGUUUAUCAAAAACACAGGUCUCCGCUAAGUCGUAAGACGAUGUAUGGGGGCUGACGCCUGCCCAGUGCCAGAAGGUUAAAGAAGUUGGUUAGCAUCCGCGAAGCUGAUAACUGAAGCCCUGGUGAACGGCGGCCGUAACAAUAACGGUCCUAAGGUAGCGAAAUUCCUUGUCGGGUAAGUUCCGACCCGCACGAAAGGCGUAAUGAUUUGGAUACUGUCUCGGAGAGGGGCUCGGUGAAAUAGACUUGCCUGUGAAGAUGCGGACUACCUGCACCUGGACAGAAAGACCCUAUGAAGCUUUACUGUAACUUGAAAUUGAAAUUGGACUUUAUUUGCGCAGUAUAGGUGGGAGGCGUUGAAGAUAUUCUUGCGGGAAGAUUGGAGCCAUCAGUGAGAUACCACUCUUGUAAUGUUAGAUUUCUAACUUUGUAUCAUUAUCUGGUCAAAGAACAGUUUCAGGCGGGCAGUUUGACUGGGCGGUCGCCUCCCAAACGGUAACGGAGGCGCACAAAGGUUUCCUCUGAACGGGUAGAAAUCGUAUCUAGAGUGUAAAGGCAUAAGGAAGCUUGACUGUGAGACCUACAAGUCGAGCAGGGACGAAAGUCGGUCUUAGUGAUCUGACGGUGCUGAGUGGAAAGGCCGUCACUCAACGGAUAAAAGUUACUCUAGGAUAACAGGCUGAUCUCCCCCAAGAGUUCACAUCGACGGGGAGGUUUGGCACCUCGAUGUCGGCUCAUCGCAUCCUGGGGCGGUAGUACGUCCCAAGGGUUGGGCUGUUCGCCCAUGAAAGCGGUACGCGAGCUGGGUUCAGAACGUCGUGAGACGGUUCGGUCCAUAUCCGGUGUAGGCGUUAGAAUAUUGAGAGGAGCCUUCUUUAGUACGAGAGGACCGAGAAGGACAUACCUCUGGUGUACCAGUUAUCGUGCCAACGGUAAACGCUGGGUAGCUAUGUAUGGAGAGGAUAACCGCUGAAAGCAUCUAAGUGGGAAGCCCACCUCAAGAUAAG
RNAcentral lists this ribosomal RNA (1233 nucleotides) under metagenome. RNAcentral's name for it is "bacterial LSU rRNA". It matches the Rfam family "Bacterial large subunit ribosomal RNA", at positions 1564 to 2808 of the family's 2925-position model. The record is from RNAcentral.